CCAGGUCAUCCCAAGAUGGCGGGUGAAUGGGGUCCAGCUCCUGGGGCAGCCCCCUCCCCUUCAGCCGGAACCACCCCAGGAGGCCCGAGGACCACCCCCCCGCCCGUCCCUGAGCCCACCUGCCGCAGCCCCCUCGUAACUCCUUGUGUGUCUCUUGGUUUUCAGAGAUGCCCCUGUACUUUGUGGACUUGCAGGAUGACUUAGACGAUUGUGCACCCUGAUUGCAUUACCUGCUCGGAGCACAUGCCGGAGUGAGCACACGUAACUGUGUGGACCCUUUCUCAUCUCCACUGUCAAGUUAUGGCCCGAGGGCUCCUUGAUAUCUUCUUGGACUUCAGUAACAAUGAAGAAGACUUCCUAACAGUAAUGGGCAUCAUGGUCAGAUUGUCAGAAGACGCAGAGCCCACAGUCCGGACUGAGCUGAUGGAGCAGAUUCCUGCUCUUGCCAUUUUUCUAUAAGAAAACAGAUCAGAUUUUCCAGUGGUGCUUUCUGAAUGCCUCAAACCCAUCAUGGUGUGGUACCUCACAGAUCCAGACAAUCAUUGUUGUGAAAAAUUACAACCUGAAGCUCCUGAAGUGUUUUGAGCUCUGCACGGACAGCGUGUAGCGGAUGCGGAAAGCCUGUGCUGAGUGCUUCCUGGCUGUGGCCCACGACAUGUCCCCUGAGGUCUGCAGGGCCAGACUCUGGCCCCUUUUCAUCACACUGAUCAGUGACCCCUGCCGAUGGGUGCUCCAGGCUGCCUUCCAGUCCCUGGGCCCCUUCAUCUCCACCUUUGCCAACCCCUCCAGGGCUGGCCUUUAUAUUCAGGAAGAUGGUACUUUCAACAUCUGACCACUGGCUCUGGGUUUGGACUCGGACAUCAGCCUGGGCUACCGGAUGCAGGCGGCUGUGGGGACUCAGCCUCCGCCUGAUGACGGGUACACCCUAAGCAGAUCAUUCGAGAUGGUUCACUAGCAUCUCUCCAGUGUUAAUGUUACUCAGCAGUGUGAGAGGAGCUCAAGUUCAGGGAUUAUCAGCUACACGGAGAGCUGCCCAGCUUAACUCUGUGAACAAGGUCCAGCACCAGCCAAGAGAAGGGCCAAGUGAAGUGUCCGUGCCAGGUCCCAUCCCUGCCCCUGACAGCCAGGGCCCCCGGCUGACCCCACCACGGUGGGGCGAGCUCUCCGCAGCCAGGAUAUUAGCAAGCAUGGACAUAAAACCACAGCCCCUGCUAGAUCAGUAUGUGUCCAUGACCGACCUAGCUCAGCGCAGACCGUCAAUACCAACAUAGCCAAACACUGCGCCUGCAGCCUCCCUGGGGGUGGCGCUCACCCUGGGCCGGCAGAAUUGGCACUGCCUGAAAGAUACAUACAAGACACUGGCCUCCGACGUGCAGGUAAAAGGAGCCUUUGCAGAGGCUGGGACAGAACAGCUAAUUAGGAGACGGGGAAGCUGCGGCCAGGCCCACUGACCUGUGGCCGAAGUUGACAUGUUUACUGGCCUCUGAUGAAAAGGCCAGCACCUGGCAGUAUCAGUUUUGCUUCAGAAAUGCCACCUACGCUCUUGAUAAUGCUGAGUUCUGCUUGCCUUCUGCGGUCCACCCAGUGGAAAGUUCAGCGCACCCUGGCCUUCUUCCACGAGCUUGCUGUGAUCCUCAAGGAUCAGUUAACAGCAGCCCACCUGCUACCCGUCUUCAAUGGAUUUCUAAAGGACCUGGAUGAAGUAUGAAUAGGAGUCCUCAAACACCUGUAUGACUUUCUAAAGGUAGGGAGAAGGGUUAAAACAAAAAAGCAAACCUCCCCUCUUCAAUACAAUUUUUUUAAACCCUGGGUAUGUAUAGAUUCAGUUAAAAACAACAACAAAAAAAAAGCAGCUGUCUGGGUUUCUUCAGUUGAAACGUAUCAUCCACAGUGUUAAAGUGGGCAUUCUUUCAGUGAUGGGUAAAUAUUUUUCUGUCUUUCCUACUAAUCUCCCUGUCCCUUAGAGUUCUAAUGCCAUGGAGAAUUACACUCCGGGAAAGGAGAAGCUGGGCUGCCGGGCGGCGUGUGCCUUGCUCGGGGUCAUCUAAGGGAAGAGCCCGGCUGAAAUCCAAUCUCAGUUCUGCAUGAAGAGCUUGCAAGAUGGUGCUGAUUGCCUCCCUGCCUUUUUAUUUCUCCCCUCCUAAAGGAGCGAUGAGUGUAAAACUGAGAGUUUAAAAAUGACCUCAAGAAACUAAUUAGUCGCAUCCAGACGACCUGGAGCUGCCCUUGACAGAGCUGGGCGCCUGCUGCUUGGCUGGUGUGGGCACAGAGCUCGCGAGCAGCGCCUCCUCCCCGGGAAGCAGCGUGGCAUUAUCUCCCGAGCACACACAGGCCUGGGUUUUUUGUUGUUGUUGUUGUUGUUGUUUUUUUUCAGGCAGGAAAUUGUGAAAGAUGGAAGAGUGGAGAGCGUGUAGAAAUGCACAAGCACAUCCACGAAACAGGGGGGAAAGGUUGGAAGCAGUCAGGGAGGCACUGUCCGUGUUCACAGCAGAGCUAAUUCACAGCCACUCUGGGUAAUGGAGACACAGGUGUCAGGGAAACAUACGGCUAUGGCCAGGGACAGAUGAAUAACCUGAAGUUUAUCAGAAAACAGAGUAUUGGGGGGCAUUCUGGAGGAUUAUAUAUUCUUAUUUAUAUGUAAAUUUUAAAAAACUAGCUGCUUCAUGAAGACAAGAGGAGAGAAUAUCUUUAUCAGCUUCAAGAAUUGUAGUGACCGAUAACAGCAGGAAUUGGAGGUUUUGAUAUGAACUAGCAGAGUAAGUAAAACCUGUUCGGGGAUAUGAGAAGGCAAAUUAGAUGGAAUAAUUCUUAAUUUCCCUACCUUAUAAUUGAUUUCUAAAGUAGCAGUAAGAGUCUUCUUCUGGAUAAAGAGAUUAUGUUUUUAUUAAGGGAUAAACUGAAUUCCAAAGCUCUAAGUUACAAAUACCACAGUCUCCGGGGAGACAUUCAUUUUCAGAGGCAGACAGGGCGAGAGUCACUUUGGAAUUAGAGUGUUCUGCUGUUCUAUAAGGCAAUUUAUUCGAACCAAAUAAAAGAUGAAUCACCCGCUCUUCAAUAUUCUCCUAUUAAUCGGAGCAGUUUUUGCCAAAGCUUUCUUGAACAUUCUGAGGGUAACCCUCUGUUUAAGGACACAGCGUGGUUUAUACACUUCAGCUCCUAAAGAAAAUUAUGCUACAGUGAGAGAGAUGAGAAAGUCUAACCCAGAUGAGGUGAUUAUUGAAUAAAAACGUCCCCCAAGGUGGCUCAGAGCUGCACAUCAUUUUGUGUGUGAAGGAGUUAUUUAACUCCAUUGUGUGCCGGCAAGAAGAAUGGUCAAGGUUUUAGUGAUUGCAGAAGAGUGAGAUCGUCCCCUUAAAUAAUUCCCCUUCCUGGGGUGUAGAAUGUGCUUUCCGCAGUAUUGAGUAGAUUUGUUUGUGGCGGUGGUGUUUGGGUGUUAGUUUUCACCUCCUCAAGAUUUAUUUCUGUAAUCUCUUGUUUUCAUUUUUCUUGCCCUCAACUAGAAAUCUCUCAAAUAAUUGUCUUCCCUGUAGAAAUCCAUCAGGAUUUUGCAGCUCUUCGGGAUAAGAUUUGGCCGAUGCCAGGGGCAAACGAAAAGAUUUUCUCUUUGCUGUGAUCCUUAAUCAUUAUGCUUAAUUUGAGAGAUUGAGGUUUCAGUCAUUAUGCCUUGUCCCCGGCGCAUAUUCUGAGAAAAACAGGCCCACGUUUUUUUCCGUGAAGGCAUCGCGCCCUCUAGCGGCCGAUGCGGGAACUCGGCGCGGUCCGCCUCGGGCUGGGCUGAACCGUCUUUCCCGAGUUGGGGGGCGCCGAUGGCGAUGCAAGGACCGAGACCCCGGGUGGGGUUGGGGCCGGAGGCCGGCAGGAACCGGGAACGGGGGGGCUGGAGACCAACGAUGGAGUCGGGACGGGGGACCGGCUGAUCCACCUCCCGGGGCCGGGGACUGAGGGCGGGCACGGUGUGGACCCGGUGCUGGUGCCGAUGCCGGCUGCGAGGACCCUUUUCCCGGGCCGGGCCGGGCCGGGCCGAGCCGACUAGCCUCGCCCGACGGCGUUAUCGCCAACAUCUGUGCGGUGGUUAUUGAAGCCGAAGCCCACCGAUAUAAAUUCUGUGUUCCGUGCCCACGAUACUGGUAUCAUUUUUCUGAAAACAGUGCUUUUUUUUUUUUUUUAUGAAAGUAUUCAUCGGCACCCCUGGCUUCUGGUUCUAACUUCCACGCAAUCACUCUUUCGUUUCCUUUCCUUUGCCAGGGUGGAAAUCAUGCCGUUUGUUUCUGUUCCCUUCUCCCCUUCCCCACUUGGAGAGAGCUCUCUGGCGGUGGCUUGCUCCCACCGGCGGGUGAUGGAUUUUCCCGGGAGCGCGGAGCCCGGCUCGGUUCUCCCCAAGCGGACCUCGUGCGAGCGCGCGAGCCGAGCCGAGAGCACAGGCAGUUAGUCUGCCGCGUCGGGGGCUGCGGCGACCGGGAAACCUCGUUUGUUUUCUCCUUGAUCUGCGGAUCUUUGGGAACUUCAGCGUCCUGGCUAUUUUUAUGUUAUCUGAUUUGUAAAAGUUUUAUGUGUGUUCGAACUGGUAACCUAAAGUUGAAAGAUUAAAGCCCUUAUUCAUAAAUUUCUCAACCUCUGUUUUACAAAGUCUAACUUAUUUUCUUUUGGUUUGAUUUGUGUGCGUGAGAGAGAUGAAGAAUUAAGAUUUCUUUGUUUUUCUUCGCUUUUCUUUGCGUAGCCAUUUUCCCUCAGCUUCCGUUGAUCUCACGGCCGGCUAUUUUCAUCUGUAAGAUGAAAUGAGAGUAAGGAAAGGUUGUGGCAAUUCUGCAGAAGUUCUGUUCAAACAGUGAAAGUGCACCGGGGUUCAGUUUAAUCAUGAACUCAUCCUACGGUUCCGGCACUGUUCUAAGUGGGUCGGAAGGCAAACAUUUGCUUUCAUUUGUCAGCAUAUUUUAGAAAUGCCGAUAACCCUCAUCUUGGAGUUGUUGAAGAGACUGUCCUGGCUUUGCAGUCCCACCAGAACCAAGAUCUUACCUUUUUCGCUGCCCUAGAACCAAAGCGGGGGAAUGUUACAGACCUCGGCAUGCUGCAAGAACAGAACUAACCCAUCUGCGAUCACUGCAAGCCGGUCACUUUGAGCUUGGCAUGUGCUGCUUACGUAACUUGAAGCGGAGCUGACGGUGUCAUACCUGCCUGGGGAGGAAGGGUUUCUGAGACUUUGGCAUUGUGUCCUCCAGGGACCCCUUUCCCAUCUGCGGUCACAGGGACUGCUCCUGGGACAGGCAUUGGCAGGCGCUGUGCUGCUGCCCCUCCAUGCCAGAUCGGCAAGUCUGUGCAAAGGUUGUAGAACCAGGUGGCUCCCUGAGUGUGGGAGCCUCCGUGACAUCAGACUGUCUGGUAGCAGUUUGUUUUGUCUAUUACUGAUGAUAUUAUUUGACCCCCAGUUACCCCCUCUCCAAAAAUAAAGUACUUUACUAGAAGCU
Molecule: RNA transcript, 5462 nt
Organism: Capra hircus (goat)
Lineage: Eukaryota; Metazoa; Chordata; Mammalia; Artiodactyla; Bovidae
Exons: 10
Source: RefSeq, a predicted model, not a curated record